This 511-nucleotide ribosomal RNA is filed under the name uncultured bacterium. RNAcentral describes it as "partial 16S ribosomal RNA". It matches the Rfam family "Bacterial small subunit ribosomal RNA", at positions 28 to 523 of the family's 1533-position model. The record is from RNAcentral.
GACGAACGCUGGCGGCGUGCCUAAUACAUGCAAGUAGAACGCUGAAGGAGGAGCUUACUUCUCUGGAUGAGUUGCGAACGGGUGAGUAACGCGUAGGUAACCUGCCUGGUAGCGGGGGAUAACUAUUGGAAACGAUAGCUAAUACCGCAUAAGAGUAGAUGUUGCAUGACAUUUACUUAAAAGGUGCAAUUGCACCACUACCAGAUGGACCUGCGUUGUAUUAGCUAGUUGGUGGGGUAACGGCUUACCAAGGCGACGAUACAUAGCCGACCUGGGAGGGUGAUCGGCCACACUUGGACUGAGACACGGCCCAGACUCCUACGGGAGGCAGCAGUAGGGAAUCUUCGGCAAUGGACGGAAGUCUGACCGAGCAACGCCGCGUGAGUGAAGAAGGUUUUCGGAUCGUAAAGCUCUGUUGUAAGAGAAGAACGAGUGUGAGAGUGGAAAGUUCACACUGUGACGGUAUCUUACCGGAAAGGGACGGCUAACUACGUGCCAGCCGCCGCCGUAA